RNAcentral lists this small RNA (29 nucleotides) under Bombyx mori (domestic silkworm). RNAcentral describes it as "ovarian small RNA-9448". The record is from RNAcentral. Lineage: Eukaryota; Metazoa; Arthropoda; Insecta; Lepidoptera; Bombycidae.
UUAUCUAUCAAGGAUAUGUCAGGAAGAGC